This 253-nucleotide ribosomal RNA is filed under the name uncultured prokaryote. Its description in RNAcentral is "partial 16S ribosomal RNA". It matches the Rfam family "Bacterial small subunit ribosomal RNA", at positions 524 to 776 of the family's 1533-position model. The record is from RNAcentral.
UACGAAGGUGGCAAGCGUUGUUCGGAUUUACUGGGCGUACAGGGAGCGUAGGCGGUUCGGUAAGCCCUCUGUGAAAUCUCCAGGCUUAACCUGGAACAGUCGGAGGGGACUGCCGGGCUAGAGGACGGGAGAGGAGCGCGGAAUUCCCGGUGUAGCGGUGAAAUGCGUAGAUAUCGUGAGGAAGACCAACGGCGAAAGCAGGCCUCUGGAAAUCUCCUGACACUGAGGCUCGAAGGCCAGGGGAGCAAACGGG